GACGAACGCUGGCGGCGUGCUUAACACAUGUAAGUCGAACGGAAAGGCCCUGCUUGCCGGGUACUCGAGUGGCGAACGGGUGAGUAACACGUGGGUGAUCUGCCCUGCACUUCGGGAUAAGCCUGGGAAACUGGGUCUAAUACCGGAUAGGAGCCAUUUUUAGUGUGAUGGUUGGAAAGUUUUUUCGGUGUAGGAUGAGCUCGCGGCCUAUCAGCUUGUUGGUGGGGUAAUGGCCUACCAAGGCGGCGACGGGUAGCCGGCCUGAGAGGGUGGACGGCCACAUUGGGACUGAGAUACGGCCCAGACUCCUACGGGAGGCAGCAGUGGGGAAUAUUGCACAAUGGGCGCAAGCCUGAUGCAGCGACGCCGCGUGGGGGAUGACGGCCUUCGGGUUGUAAACUCCUUUCGCUAGGGACGAAGCUUUUUGUGACGGUACCUAGAGAAGAAGCACCGGCUAACUACGUG
This 465-nucleotide ribosomal RNA is filed under the name uncultured bacterium. RNAcentral describes it as "partial 16S ribosomal RNA". It matches the Rfam family "Bacterial small subunit ribosomal RNA", at positions 28 to 507 of the family's 1533-position model. The record is from RNAcentral.